AUACGGAGGGUGCAAGCGUUAAUCGGAAUCACUGGGCGUAAAGCGCAUGUAGGCGGACAUUUAAGUCAGGGGUGAAAUCCCGGGGCUCAACCUCGGAACUGCCUUUGAUACUGGGUGUCUAGAGUGUGGAAGAGGUAAGUGGAAUUCCGAGUGUAGAGGUGAAAUUCGUAGAUAUUCGGAGGAACACCAGUGGCGAAGGCGGCUUACUGGUCCAUUACUGACGCUGAGGUGCGAAAGCGGUGGG
Molecule: ribosomal RNA, 244 nt
Filed under: uncultured bacterium
Lineage: Bacteria
Description: partial 16S ribosomal RNA
Rfam family: Bacterial small subunit ribosomal RNA
Source: RNAcentral